GACACAGGGAGGUAGUGACAAGAAAUAACAAUACAGGGCUUAAAGUCUUGUAAUUGGAAUGAUGGGAAUCUAAACCCUUCCCAGAGUAUCAAUUGGAGGGCAAGUCUGGUGCCAGCAGCCGCGGUAAUUCCAGCUCCAAUAGCGUAUAUUAAAGUUGUUGCAGUUAAGAAGCUCGUAGUUGAAUUUCUGCCUUGUCAUUAAUCUCGCUUCCGAGCGUUUUUUUAUUGACUUGGCAUCUUCUGGAUUUGGUGCCUUCGGGUACUAUUUUCCAGGAUUUACUUUGAGAAAACUAGAGUGUUUCAAACAGGCAUUCGCCUUGAAUACUACAGCAUGGAAUAAUGAAGUAGGACUUUGGUUCUAUUUUGUUGGUUAUUGAGCCAGAGUAAUGGUUAAUAGGAGCAGUUGGG
This 407-nucleotide ribosomal RNA is filed under the name Babesia sp. RNAcentral's name for it is "SSU rRNA". It matches the Rfam family "Eukaryotic small subunit ribosomal RNA", at positions 453 to 886 of the family's 1831-position model. Lineage: Eukaryota; Apicomplexa; Aconoidasida; Piroplasmida; Babesiidae. The record is from RNAcentral.